UCAGUGAAUCAUCUUCACGUUUCUCAGUCAGGUCUUGCUCAUCUAAAGGAGAAGAUUCCACGAGGAAAAUCUUGGUGACAACAGAGCUCUGCCGUCCAUCACUGUGUUAGGAGAGAAAAAAUGCAUGACCUUCGUACAAUAAGUUUAAGAAACACCCGGCUCUGUUAAAUGAACCUACCCGGUGACUGCCAUGGCUCUCACAGACACUUUUCCCACAGGGGUGCAGGAGUCGAUUUCAUGCUUAGCUUUCCCCGGAGGAGGAAUGCGAAUGGGAAUUAUUUGUGGGGCUGCUAGUGAACCUGCAGUCAUGUUUGCACUCUUCUACCUGACAGCUGGACGUGAUAUCGGUGUGCGUCACGUAACCCAUAGCAACCGUGUGAACCACUGG
Long non-coding RNA from Triplophysa dalaica, 388 nucleotides. RefSeq lists it as uncharacterized. The transcript is spliced from 3 exons. Lineage: Eukaryota; Metazoa; Chordata; Actinopteri; Cypriniformes; Nemacheilidae. The record is from RefSeq and is a predicted model, not a curated record.